This 24-nucleotide non-coding RNA is filed under the name Arabidopsis thaliana (thale cress). Lineage: Eukaryota; Viridiplantae; Streptophyta; Magnoliopsida; Brassicales; Brassicaceae. The record is from RNAcentral.
AGGUGUAGGUGUUGAGCUCGAGGC